This is a non-coding RNA of Ictidomys tridecemlineatus (thirteen-lined ground squirrel), 2130 nucleotides long. NCBI's taxonomy places the organism in Eukaryota, Metazoa, Chordata, Mammalia, Rodentia, Sciuridae. The record is from RefSeq and is a predicted model, not a curated record.
AAAGAAAGAAAGGCCUUGUUCCCAGCACGACACUAUUGGGGGAAGACCUUUAUGAAAUGGGACGUAGUAGGAGGGAGAUUGUAGGUCAUUGGGGGCAAGCUCUUGAGAGGGAUGUUGGGAUCCUGGCCCUUCCUCUACCUUUUGCUUUGGAGCCACUGUGAAGUGAGUAACUUGCUCCAUGUGCACUCCUGCCAUGGUGUACGGCCUUGCAGAGGCCCCAAAUCAAUAUGGCCAACAAACCACCGAUCUCUAAAAUAAGCCUUUCCUUUUUAAAGAUGAUUAACUCAGGUAUUUUUGUUUUAGUAUGGAAAGCUGAGUAACACAGUGAGACAGUAAGUCAUAAAGCUUGGAUGUGAUUACAUUUUCUUCAGAAACAGUGAAUUCACAGGUAUUGGAUAGAAUGAGGUUAGUUUUGGCCAAAGACCAUUGUAAAUUAAAAACAUUAAUAUACUUCCUUUAAUAACCAAUUGUCCCAGAUAUAGAAUAUACUAUUUGAUAUAACUAUAUAAUAUAAUCCAUAGCUAUAUAAUAUUACAAUAUGAUAAUUAUCAUAUAAUAAUGUUUACAUAUGUAUAUACAUAUGUGUGUGUGUGUGUGUAGUGUAUACUCUAGAUUGUGAUUUCCAACCUGUUUAAAUGCACCAGUGUCAAUUUUGCUGAAAUAUUUUCAGAUUUGUAAACUUGAACUUAAUGGGUUUUAAAAGACAGGUAGAAAGUUCUUAACACUAUUUAUGAAGUAUGUGUCUUUAAAAAUCUAGAAUGGAAUUUUGCCAAGCUCUGAAUCUGAAUAGCAGUUUAUAGGACUUAUGGGAAACAGAAGAUCAAAGUGACCACACCUCAAGAAAACCAUCAUGACUCUAUAAAGCAAUAGACCCAUUUCUCUAAUUAGGCAAUGUAUAAAAUGAAAAGAGAGGUCAAGUGAGGAGAGUGGGAAGGGAGACCAUCAGAAAAUAAAGAAAUAUAGUAGUCAUCCAAAUGAAAUAAAAUAAGUAGUCUUGUCUGAUCACAUGUCACCCAAAAGAACUCAAAAUAUUUAUGAGUCAAAUGGGAAGUUUUGAGUGAAGACUGGUAUAAAAUACAAAGGAAAAGAUAGUUUCCACCAUGUAAAAAUUCAUCAGGCAUAGGAUAUUUGCAUAUUGUUGAAGUUUCAUUCCACAUAUGAUUUAUUAAUUAUAAUAGGAAAGGGCACAUUUAAAAUGGAGAAAUCUGGUGAGCAUAGCAUUAACCAAAUGAGCAAACAUAACAUCAUCAAUAAUGUAGCAUAUUGCUUGAUGUGGUGCAUCCAUGUAAUAUUCCUACAAAAAAAAAAAAGAAAUUAAAUACUAACUGAAAUCUAAUCAUGAGGCAAAGACACAUGAAAAUUGAAGGCUACUUUCAAAAUAUUGCCUGUGUUAUUUUAAAAUAUUAAAAGACAAAAUGAAAAAAAAAUGAAGUUUUGGGUAGUGUUCUAAAAUAAGGGAGAAGUGCACAAUGUGAUCCUUGAUAGGCUUGUGGAUUAGAGCAAUUAACAGUUAUAUAGAGUACUGUUGAGACCAUUGAAUGUCAUUAAAUAGAAAUGAAUAUUAGCAAAUUAUAUCAUAUUAACUCUAAACUCUCUGAGAGUGAUCAUUUUCUUGUGAUUUUAUAGGAGAAUUCCAGCUUCUUCAGAGACUUAUUCUUAAGUAAUAUGUACUAUCAUGAUAUUUGAAAUUAAUCCUCACUUGGUUUCAGAAGAUAGAGUGAGAGAAAGAGUCUGUGCAAGUAGAAUUAAAAAAGAAAGAAGGAGCAAAUGUGGUCACAUUGCAGCAAUUGUUAAAUCCUUGUCUUUGAGUCCUAGGUCCUUAGAAACUCACAACAAGGAAAGGCAGCACCUGCUAAAACAAAAGAAGAGCAUGGGGACCACAGCAAGUGGACAGCUCAAAAACCACAUCCUAAAGGAGCUGCUGCAGGCACCCUGCCAGAAACACCCAGAGAAUCUGCAGGACAUCUUGCUUCUGUCAGGAUCUGCUAACCUUAACAAACCCUUACAAGCCCUUGAAGACCCCAACCCCUGAGGACAAGGGAGACACCUGAGGACAAGGGAGACACCUUUCAAGGAGUCCAGACCCUCUCCUGUCUUGGACAGUAAAUAAAAUAGUUAAUUGCCAAUUGC